Molecule: ribosomal RNA, 381 nt
Filed under: uncultured soil bacterium
Lineage: Bacteria
Description: bacterial SSU rRNA
Rfam family: Bacterial small subunit ribosomal RNA
Source: RNAcentral
AGAUUGAACGCUGGCGGCAUGCCUUACACAUGCAAGUCGAACGGCAGCACGGGAGCAAUCCUGGUGGCGAGUGGCGAACGGGUGAGUAAUACAUCGGAACGUGCCCAAUCGUGGGGGAUAACGCAGCGAAAGCUGUGCUAAUACCGCAUAAGAUCUACGGAUGAAAGCAGGGGAUCGCAAGACCUUGCGCGAAUGGAGCGGCCGAUGGCAGAGUUAGGUAGUGGUGAGGUAAGCUCACCAGCUUCGAUCUGUAGCUGGUCUGAGAGGACGACCAGCCACACUGGGACUGAGACGACGCCCAGACUCCGUACGGGAGCAGCAGGUGGGAAUUUGGACAAGUGGGACGAAACGCCUAGACUACCGAGUCCAGUCGCCGUACGU